Molecule: long non-coding RNA, 278 nt
Organism: Xenia sp. Carnegie-2017
Lineage: Eukaryota; Metazoa; Cnidaria; Anthozoa; Malacalcyonacea; Xeniidae
Exons: 3
Source: RefSeq, a predicted model, not a curated record
UGGUAUCAUACGCAGAGUACUGAAGUUAAUUAGGAUUUUUAUCUUCUUUAAUUUGUAUUAUUGGUAAUUAAUGCACUGUUUGUACGGCAGAAUUACUUGACAAUUUUAUUUACGUAAAACUCGUACAAUGAAUCAAUAAUUUCCAGCACAAGGUUGUAUGUGUGUGAAACAUUUGCCUUAUUAUAAAAGCUGUAAUAUUUCAUAAUUGUAUGUUAAAACUAAUAAUUUUGUAUGAGUAACGCUCUUCAAACCAAGUGACAAGUAGAACGAGAUCAAAC